CGAAAGUCGUUACAUAUAAUCAGAUGGGAUAGUGCGGUGCUGGGGGCAGACCAGAGGCUCUCAGAGCUGCUAAACCCAAUCUGGGGAGGUCAGGGAAGGCUGCCCGGAGGGAGUGACAUUGGGUUGAGAGCUAACGGACAUAUAGAAGUUAGCAAGGCCAGUAGGGCCUGGAAUGUCCCAGGCAGAGGGAACACCACGUGCAAAGUCCCUGAAGUGACAGCCACCGGUGGGGAGCUGAGAGACGCCAGAGCAAGGAGAGGCUGGGGUGAGAUGGGGUCAGAGAGAUGGUCAAGCCUUGCAGUUAAGACCUUGGGUUAAGAAUUUUGGAUUUUUUCCUGGAGGUCAUAGGGAGCCUCUGAAGGCUAGUGGCCUGAUUUGCGUUUGAAGAAUUUACCCUCUGGAGAAAACGGAUCAGAGGGCCAGGCAUGAAGAACAGAGAGACUGGUUAGGAGGCUAUUCAGUCAUCCAGGUCCAGAACAGCGCGAGGUCCCUUUUGAGUAAGUGUUCAGCGAAGACUUGGGAACCAAAGCACACUGAUUAAGGACCUACUUCAAGGUCAGAUGUGGGUUUGAAAUUUCAUUCUAGCACUUACUACCUGUGUGACCUUGGGCAAGUUAAAUAUCCUUUCUGAACCUGUUUUUUUCACAGAAAAACACAGAUAAUCAUAACACCUACAUUAACAAGGAUUCAUCAGAAGUUUCAAUGUGGGAACACGUGUAAAGGGUCUAGCAUGGAACCUGGCCGACUGUAGGCAUUCAAUAAAUGUUAGCCUGAGGUUGAAGGAGAAAGAGCAGACCUUAUCAGAUAAUCUUAGAAUAGGGGCCUUUCUUUUUUCUUAAAAAAAAAAAUCAUCUUUAAACAUUCUCCAAUGCAUGUGAAAUAAUUUUUAAAUAGUGUCAUGGGCUAAUAGUGAAUUAAGUUAUGGUAGACCCAUAUUAUGGAAUACUGUAUCACAAUGAAAUAAUAAAUUGUAUCUAUUAUGUACACACAUGGACAGAUGACCAUGAUUGUUACAGGGUAAGAAAAAAAAGCAAACAUCAGAAUAUGAAUAGUUCCCCUCUCUCCUUCUAAAAAAUUAUAUGGCCGGGCGCAGUGGUUCAUGCCUGUAAUCCCAGCAAUUUGGGAGGCUGAGACAGGUGGAUCACCUGAGUCAGGAGUUCAAGACCAGCCUGGCCAACAUGGUGAAACCCCAUCUCUACUAAAAAAAAAUAAAAAAUUAGCUGGGUGUGGUGGCGGGCGCCUGUAAUCCCAGCUACUCAGGAGGCUGAAGCAGGGAAAACUGCUUGAACCAGGGAGGCAGAGGUUGCAGUGAGCCGAGAUUGCGCCAAUGCACUCCAGCGUGGGCGACAGAGCAAGACUCCAUUGCAAAAAAAAAAAAAAAAAAAUUAUAUAUGGCCAGGCAGAGUGGCUCACACUUGUAAUCCCAGCGCUUUGGGAGGCUGAGGCAGAAGGACCGCUUGAGGCCAGGUGUUUGAGACCAGCCUAGGAAACAAAGCAAAAAAAAAAAAGCCAGGUGUGGUGGUGCAUAGCUGCAGUCCCAGCUACUCAGGAGGCUGAGGUGGGAGAAUUGCAUGAGCCAAAGAGUUCAAGGCUGCAGUGAGCUAUGAUUGUGCCACUGCAUGAUGGGCGACAGAGUGAGACACUGUCUCAAAGGCAAAACAAAAUGAAACGAACACACACACACACACACACAUAUAUGCACAGAGAAAGGAGGUCUGGAAAGAUAUAUACCUAAUUUUAAAGGAGUAGGGCCUGGUGAGAUUUUUUUUUUAACUUUCUGCAUUCCAACUUAUUUUGUAAUUUCCAACACACACACACACACACACACACACACACACACACACACACACACACACACACCAGACAGGAAAAAAAUUCUCAAAUUCUCUCUGGCCUGAAUAUUUCAUAGGACUUUGAAAGUCAUUAAACUGAAUAGAAGAGGUGGUUAAUUCUUCUGGCAAGUGUGAGAAUUUCCAUACCCAGUGUUUCUUUUUGAGAGAGGCUGUAGGAGAGAAGAGAUGGAGAAUGAAUUGCUCCAGCAUUACUCAUUCUCAGCACAUCCAAACAGGUAGUCUCAUUCUUGUCCCUGUCACCACUACAGCCCUGACACAGAGUCACAGAGAAACUCUUUGAUAAAUGUCAACUGAAAUUGAGUAAUCAUCUGAAAGCCAUUUGCUGAGCUGUCUGACUGCCCUGGGCUCGAGGUUUUCCUUUAUUCAUUUAUCAUGAUACAGCUUUGGCCAACAUACACACAGGAGAGAAAUUGUUGACAUGUGGAACCCAAGUACAGAAAAUCUUUCAUUUUCCUCCCUGUCUGUUCACCAAAUAAGUUUUUGUUUAUUUAAAGACUACAGAGGAUUUGGCUGUUAAGAACCAAAUGCCUUUGGAGUGGAAUUACAACAUAAUUUAUCAUUUCCUCUGUUUAUUAAAAAAUCCUGCAUCUUUGAGAAGCACAUUUGCAGUGAGUGGGGGAUUUCGGCCACUCAUGAAAGACUGUUGCAAAGCCCCUGUCAUGUGGCUUACCCCAAAAGAGGCUCCUUAAUUGCUCUAUCUAUCCCUGCUCUUCCCCCAGCUGACUUCUGAUCAUGUGAUGACCACUUAGGGCUGGUGGAUGGGGUUAGAGGACAGGUAAGUGGGGCAGGAGACUGUGUUAGUUUAACUUUGACCCAAUUUUGACCUUGAAUCCUCACUGCAUGUUUCACCAGUGUAAGUAAAGAGGGAAGUGCAACCCUUAUUACCUCCAGCACAGGAGAGAAUCUGGAGGAAGUCAAAGAGCAAAGAGAAGUUGGAUGUUGCUUUGAAAGAACUCAGCCAGGCCUUGCCACCACCAAAGUGGGCUCCAUUCUGAAAGCAGACACCUUGCAGAACUGGAAUGAACUUCCUACUUUUCCACCCAAUAGAUUAUUAUAGACAGCAAUUUAGUUCAGUGCACUAUGUACCCCCCCAAAACAGGGGUCAUAUCUUUCCCAUUUUUGUAUUGCCAGUACAUAGUUCAGCACCUGACAAACAAUUGGUGCUCACUAAAUGCUAAUGAAGGCAGCAGGACACAGUGGUUCCUUCCAGAUUGGUGAGGUGCUGAGAGAGUGUGAGCCCAGAGAAGGCAUGGAAGCUCCACACCCUCUCCCUCUCCCUCAACCUUGCCCUGUGUACCUCCUUCAUUGGGCUGUUCAGCUGUAUCUUUUAUAAUAAACCAGUGAACGUGUUUCCCUGAGUUGUGUGAGCUGUCCUAGGAAAUUAACUGAACCAAAGGAAAUCAAGGACUCUAGUUUGUAGUUGGUCAGUCAGGAGUAUGGGUGGCCCAGACUCAUGACUGGCAUCAAAAGUGUUGGCAGUCUUGGGAGAUGGAGCCCUCAACCUGUGGGAUCUGACACUAUUUCCAGGUAAUGUCAGAAAUGAAUUGAAUUAUAGGAUACCCAGUUGGUGUCUGCUGGAGAAUUGCUUGGUGUGUGGGGGAAACAAACUCACACACCUUGUCACAGAAGUGUUCCAUGUUGAGUGUGAAAGUACAAAAGGAAAAAAAGUUUGUUUUUUUCCUUUUACAUUAGCACAUCAGGCCUCAAUUUGAAUGCCAGCUCUGCUACUUGCUAGGUGUGUAACCCUGCACAAGAAACUUCACCUCUAUGUAAAUGACGCUGACAAUGAAUCAUGAAAACCUUCUACCACUGAUCAGCUUUGCUUUGUUACUUUGGGCAAAUUACCUAAUACUGUCAAGACUUAGUUUUCCUAUUUGUAAAUGAAGAUAAUACACAUCUCUUAAGUUUACUGUCAAGAUUAUAAAUAAUGCCUAGAACUAUACCUAACUCAUAAUGGCUAUAUUAGGAAUGAAUGAAUGAAUAAAAAAUAAUUGGAGGGAAAAAAACCUAAUAACCCAGUAUCCGAAGAUAAGCCACAAUAAACUACUUGUCUGUCAACAAUGGGCAGGCCCUGCAGGAAAGGUAUGUCACUACCAAGUAAAUGUUGAGAACAAGUACAAGAGUGGAAAAUGAUAGAAAGGGAGUGUUAAGACUAGAAAGAAAAGAAGUCAGCAUUUGCUGGGUAGCUACUAUGUGCAAUUUAUUCACGAUACAACAUAUGACUGCCUACUAUGCUCCAGGCAUUACACAAAGUUCUGAGGAUAUACAGGC
This 4124-nucleotide long non-coding RNA is filed under the name Homo sapiens (human). RNAcentral's name for it is "HSALNT0155030". The record is from RNAcentral. Lineage: Eukaryota; Metazoa; Chordata; Mammalia; Primates; Hominidae.